AGGACGAACGCUGGCGGCGUGCUUAACACAUGCAAGUCGAGCGGAAAGGCCCUUCGGGGUACUCGAGCGGCGAACGGGUGAGUAACACGUGAGCAACCUGCCCCUGGCUCUGGGAUAGCCUCCGGAAACGGGGAUUAAUACCGGACAUUCACUUCCUUCCGCAUGGUUGGGGGUGGAAAGUUUUUUCGGCCGGGGAGGGGCUCGCGGCCUAUCAGCUUGUUGGCGGGGUAACGGCCCACCAAGGCGACGACGGGUAGCCGGCCUGAGAGGGCGACCGGCCACACUGGGACUGAGACACGGCCCAGACUCCUACGGGAGGCAGCAGUGGGGAAUAUUGCGCAAUGGGCGGAAGCCUGACGCAGCGACGCCGCGUGGGGGAUGAAGGCCUUCGGGUUGUAAACCCCUUUCACCAGGAGCGAAUCCAGACGGUACCUGGGGAAGAAGCGCCGGCUAACUACGCGCCAGCAGCCGC
This 472-nucleotide ribosomal RNA is filed under the name uncultured bacterium. RNAcentral describes it as "SSU rRNA". It matches the Rfam family "Bacterial small subunit ribosomal RNA", at positions 26 to 518 of the family's 1533-position model. The record is from RNAcentral.